AGUAGUGACCUGCUCCCCGUUGAUUAGUACACCCCGAUGUUAGUAAUGUCUUCAUAAGCCACAUGAGGACAUCCCCAUGAAGAAGCGUUUUUCCGACGAACAGAUCAUCAGUAUUCUCCGCGAAGCCGAAGCUGGGGUACCCGCCCGUGAACUCUGCCGCAAGCAUGCCAUUUCCGAUGCCACGUUUUACACCUGGCGUAAGAAGUAUGGCGGUAUGGAGGUGCCUGAAGUUAAGCGCCUGAAGUCGCUUGAGGAAGAGAACACCAGACUCAAGAAGCUGCUUGCCGAAGCCAUGCUGGAUAAAGAGGCGCUUCAGGUGGCUCUUGGGCGAAAGUACUGACGACAGACCAGAAGCGGGAAGCCGUGAUGUUGAUGUGUGAUGCGACCGGUCUGUCGCAACGUCGUGCCUGCAGGCUUACAGGUUUAUCCCUGUCGACCUGCCGCUAUGAGGCUCACCGUCCGGCUGCUGAUGCGCAUUUAUCAGGGCGCAUCACUGAGCUGGCACUGGAGCGCAGGCGUUUUGGCUACCGUCGUAUUUGGCAGUUGCUGCGCCGUGAAGGGCUUCAUGUUAAUCAUAAGCGCGUGUACCGGCUUUAUCACCUCAGUGGCCUGGGCGUAAAACGCAGAAGACGUCGUAAAGGGCUGGCAACAGAACGUCUGCCGCUGCUCCGUCCGGCGGCGCCCAAUCUGACCUGGUCGAUGGAUUUCGUCAUGGACGCACUUUCCACCGGUCGCAGGAUCAAGUGUCUUACCUGCGUCGAUGAUUUCACAAAGGAAUGCCUGACGGUCACUGUUGCCUUUGGGAUUUCAGGCGUUCAGGUCACGCGUAUUCUGGACAGCAUUGCACUGUUUCGAGGCUAUCCGGCGACGAUAAGAACUGACCAGGGGCCGGAGUUCACUUGCCGUGCACUGGAUCAAUGGGCCUUUGAGCAUGGUGUUGAGUUGCGCUUAAUCCAGCCGGGCAAGCCAACGCAGAACGGAUUUAUUGAGAGCUUUAACGGACGAUUUCGCGAUGAAUGUUUGAAUGAGCACUGGUUCAGCGAUAUCGUUCAUGCCAGGAAAAUUAUUAAUGACUGGCGGCAGGAUUAUAACGAAUGCCGCCCGCACUCCACGCUGAAUUAUCAGACACCGUCUGAAUUUGCAGCGGGCUGGAGAAAGGGUCAUUCUGAGAAUGAAG
This 1177-nucleotide long non-coding RNA is filed under the name Olea europaea subsp. europaea. The stretch from base 307 to 424 matches the Rfam family "Insertion sequence IS1222 ribosomal frameshifting element". Lineage: Eukaryota; Viridiplantae; Streptophyta; Magnoliopsida; Lamiales; Oleaceae. The record is from RNAcentral.